AGUGAACGCUGGCGGUAGGCCUAACACAUGCAAGUCGAACGGCAGCACAGGAGAGCUUGCUCUCUGGGUGGCGAGUGGCGGACGGGUGAGGAAUACAUCGGAAUCUACUCUGUCGUGGGGGAUAACGUAGGGAAACUUACGCUAAUACCGCAUACGACCCACGGGUGAAAGCAGGGGACCUUCGGGCCUUGCGCGAUUGAAUGAGCCGAUGUCGGAUUAGCUAGUUGGCGGGGUAAAGGCCCACCAAGGCGACGAUCCGUAGCUGGUCUGAGCAGGUGAUCAGACACACUGGAACAGAGUCGCGGUCGAGACUCCGACGUGAGGCAGCAUUGGGGAAUAUUGGAAAAGUUGCGCAAGCCUGAUCCAGCCAUACCGCGUGGGUGAAGAAGGCCUUCUGGUUGUAAAGCCCUUUUGUUGGAAAAGAAAUCCAGCUGGCUAAUACCCGGUUGGGAUGACGGUACCCAAAGAAUAAGCACCGGCUAACUUCGUGCCAGCCGCCGCAGUAA
Molecule: ribosomal RNA, 506 nt
Filed under: uncultured bacterium
Lineage: Bacteria
Description: partial 16S ribosomal RNA
Rfam family: Bacterial small subunit ribosomal RNA
Source: RNAcentral